Molecule: long non-coding RNA, 1344 nt
Organism: Grus americana (Whooping crane)
Lineage: Eukaryota; Metazoa; Chordata; Aves; Gruiformes; Gruidae
Exons: 3
Source: RefSeq, a predicted model, not a curated record
CCUCCUGAGCAGGAAUUGUCUUGCAUGUUCCCAGAUUUGCUGGAAAUUCCAGGGACCACUGUAAUGCAAGUAAUGUAAAGCAACAUUUGGUCCAUGUUACGGCAAGAAGAGUUUGAAAAUGAAGACGUUAGGCUGGGGAGAACAUCAACAAACAUCAGAUGAAGUUAUCAUCCAGGUUGGCUGUUAGCCAAGUUGCUGCAAGCCUCAUUGGAGUCUGCCUUAUGAAAUGCCAAUUCCAGCAAAGUCAGAACCUGCCUGUGAACACAGUGGGGCUCGAAAUGAGAAAGUUUUGAACCAUCAGUGAGAUGAACUUCUGCAAGAGCCUCUGACUAGGACUCACUGAAUCACACGGACUUGUUUUAAGCGGGAUCCUGCAAAUUGAGUGAGCAAACAAGCAAGCCCAUCAGACCCAGCUACUCAGCCAGGUGGGAGCAUGAAGGAGCUGCAAGGACCUCUCUGGUUCCUUAUGCUUGAGACGUGCAUUUCCAGAACCUGUAGGUUGGCAUUUGAGAGACAGGGGACUGGAGAGACUGUCUAUUGGCACAAAAUUGGACUUGGCACCUUAGUUCACUAGUCCAAGGCUUCCUAGGAGGAGAGCCCAUUGCCUUUGGUACGUUGAGCCUGGCUGUUCCCACUGAAGCCUGAUUUCGUGUGAGAUUGUUGUAGAGCACAUCAAAGCAGAAGGACAACAAAUGAUCUGAAGUGUUCUCCUGAGAGCCUGACUUGCUGAUUCAAGAAAUUUGUUCGGGCUUCCAUUAUCACUGUGCCAGUGUGAGAUGAAAUGUGAAGACAUGGCAAUUCACGGCAUGUAAUACCAAUGUGUCUCAGGAGCGUUUUUUUCUGUUAUGAUUGUUUUCCUUUGGUUGUUUUUGGGAAUCUGAGUAGAACUUAUUUUAAAAAAUAAACUCCAUGACAUACUUAUUUUACUUGCCUGGAAGAUGAGAGGAAAAGGCCCAUGAUAUCAGUCAUCUUGGCUAUACUCCUUGUUCCCUAUGUAGACAUGAUUCUUAACACAUGGAUCAUUCCUUUGAGAUUGAUGAAUAAAGGAGACUUGCUACAAAUGUCUCUCUUGGCCCUGUAGGAGCCAAUACCCUGCUAGGAUUUUAUGGGAAUCUUGGAGACAUUUAGCUCACACAAGCUGCAUUUCUUCUUAAUCCCGUUGAUGAUGAUCUCUGGACAUGUGGAGGAAAAUCCAGCUCAUGGCAUUGUAAUUCCUGCUGGAGGGUUUGCAAGGGACUUUUUUUGUCUACCUGAAGAGAUGCAUAGAUGGAGGAAGCUGAGAUUCCCCUCUACCCAACCUGAGCAUACAAAAGGCCAUGAAGCCUUCCCAGACCACGUGGACCU